UUUUCUUUUUUCCUUUUCUUUUCUUUUUCCUUUUUCUUUCUUUUCCCUAUUUCCUUCUUCCUCCCCGUGCGUCCUUCCCCUUCUCCCCAGCCGCAAUCGCCGCCCCUAUUCUCCUUCCUCCCGUGCGCCGCGACGACCCCACCGUCUCCUUCCCCUUCUCUUCCGUUCGCAGCAGCCGUCGGCCGCCGCGUCUCCCCUACUGAAGUCGAGCGCCGCGACCUCCAUUCCGAUCUGCUGUCUCCAUCUCUGUUCGCGAAGCAAGACCGCGCCGCUGCCAGUCCAGAUCUGCGUUGCAGUCGUCCCGCGCGCCGAUCUGCCGUCUCCAUCUCCGUUCGCGAAGCAAAACCGCCGCCGCUCGCCGAACCCAACCGCCACCCUCUCUUUUCUCCUUCGGAUCGAAACCGCCGCGCCCAUCCACCUGUAACUGCCGCGCAACCUUCAUUCCAACCGUUGCACUGCCGCGCGAUUCUCCGGCCACGUCUCCUUUAGCCGACCGCUGACCGACCCACACUUAGGAUUUUGCUGCGAGUUCGACAGUCGUGCGUUGAGGUGUUGGGAGUAACCUUGGGCUCCCUUAAAUUCACAACCAAUUUGUGAAUUGUUGAGGGUUCAGUUCGCCAGUAUUUCGGAUUUGAUUCAUUGGAUUUAGUAGAUUGAAGAAUUUGCAUAGAAAUCGAGGUAA
This is a long non-coding RNA of Cucumis sativus (cucumber), 682 nucleotides long. RefSeq lists it as uncharacterized. The record is from RefSeq and is a predicted model, not a curated record. The transcript has 2 exons. NCBI's taxonomy places the organism in Eukaryota, Viridiplantae, Streptophyta, Magnoliopsida, Cucurbitales, Cucurbitaceae.